CCCAGUGUGAUUCGUCACACUAUCAUUAACUGAAUCCAUAGGUUAAUGAGGCGAACCGGGGGAACUGAAACAUCUAAGUACCCCGAGGAAAAGAAAUCAACCGAGAUUCCCCCAGUAGCGGCGAGCGAACGGGGAGCAGCCCAGAGCCUGAAUCAGUGUGUGUGUUAGUGGAAGCGUCUGGAAAGGCGCGCGAUACAGGGUGACAGCCCCGUACACAAAAAUGCACAUGCUGUGAGCUCGAUGAGUAGGGCGGGACACGUGGUAUCCUGUCUGAAUAUGGGGGGACCAUCCUCCAAGGCUAAAUACUCCUGACUGACCGAUAGUGAACCAGUACCGUGAGGGAAAGGCGAAAAGAACCCCGGCGAGGGGAGUGAAAAAGAACCUGAAACCGUGUACGUACAAGCAGUGGGAGCCUCUUUAUGGGGUGACUGCGUACCUUUUGUAUAAUGGGUCAGCGACUUAUAUUCUGUAGCAAGGUUAACCGAAUAGGGGAGCCGAAGGGAAACCGAGUCUUAACUGGGCGUUAAGUUGCAGGGUAUAGACCCGAAACCCGGUGAUCUAGCCAUGGGCAGGUUGAAGGUUGGGUAACACUAACUGGAGGACCGAACCGACUAAUGUUGAAAAAUUAGCGGAUGACUUGUGGCUGGGGGUGAAAGGCCAAUCAAACCGGGAGAUAGCUGGUUCUCCCCGAAAGCUAUUUAGGUAGCGCCUCGUGAAUUCAUCUCCGGGGGUAGAGCACUGUUUCGGCAAGGGGGUCAUCCCGACUUACCAACCCGAUGCAAACUGCGAAUACCGGAGAAUGUUAUCACGGGAGACACACGGCGGGUGCUAACGUCCGUCGUGAAGAGGGAAACAACCCAGACCGCCAGCUAAGGUCCCAAAGUCAUGGUUAAGUGGGAAACGAUGUGGGAAGGCCCAGACAGCCAGGAUGUUGGCUUAGAAGCAGCCAUCAUUUAAAGAAAGCGUAAUAGCUCACUGGUCGAGUCGGCCUGCGCGGAAGAUGUAACGGGGCUAAACCAUG
RNAcentral lists this ribosomal RNA (1021 nucleotides) under Escherichia coli. RNAcentral describes it as "partial 23S ribosomal RNA". It matches the Rfam family "Bacterial large subunit ribosomal RNA", at positions 127 to 1191 of the family's 2925-position model. The record is from RNAcentral. Lineage: Bacteria; Pseudomonadati; Pseudomonadota; Gammaproteobacteria; Enterobacterales; Enterobacteriaceae.